GGGACACGUGGUAUCCUGUCUGAAUAUGGGGGGACCAUCCUCCAAGGCUAAAUACUCCUGACUGACCGAUAGUGAACCAGUACCGUGAGGGAAAGGCGAAAAGAACCCCGGCGAGGGGAGUGAAAAAGAACCUGAAACCGUGUACGUACAAGCAGUGGGAGCACGCUUAGGCGUGUGACUGCGUACCUUUUGUAUAAUGGGUCAGCGACUUAUAUUCUGUAGCAAGGUUAACCGAAUAGGGGAGCCGAAGGGAAACCGAGUCUUAACUGGGCGUUAAGUUGCAGGGUAUAGACCCGAAACCCGGUGAUCUAGCCAUGGGCAGGUUGAAGGUUGGGUAACACUAACUGGAGGACCGAACCGACUAAUGUUGAAAAAUUAGCGGAUGACUUGUGGCUGGGGGUGAAAGGCCAAUCAAACCGGGAGAUAGCUGGUUCUCCCCGAAAGCUAUUUAGGUAGCGCCUCGUGAAUUCAUCUCCGGGGGUAGAGCACUGUUUCGGCAAGGGGGUCAUCCCGACUUACCAACCCGAUGCAAACUGCGAAUACCGGAGAAUGUUAUCACGGGAGACACACGGCGGGUGCUAACGUCCGUCGUGAAGAGGGAAACAACCCAGACCGCCAGCUAAGGUCCCAAAGUCAUGGUUAAGUGGGAAACGAUGUGGGAAGGCCCAGACAGCCAGGAUGUUGGCUUAGAAGCAGCCAUCAUUUAAAGAAAGCGUAAUAGCUCACUGGUCGAGUCGGCCUGCGCGGAAGAUGUAACGGGGCUAAACCAUGCACCGAAGCUGCGGCAGCGACGCUUAUGCGUUGUUGGGUAGGGGAGCGUUCUGUAAGCCUGUGAAGGUGUGCUGUGAGGCAUGCUGGAGGUAUCAGAAGUGCGAAUGCUGACAUAAGUAACGAUAAAGCGGGUGAAAAGCCCGCUCGCCGGAAGACCAAGGGUUCCUGUCCAACGUUAAUCGGGGCAGGGUGAGUCGACCCCUAAGGCGAGGCCGAAAGGCGUAGUCGAUGGGAAACAGGUUAAUAUUCCUGUACUUGGUGUUACUGCGAAGGGGGGACGGAGAAGGCUAUGUUGGCCGGGCGACGGUUGUCCCGGUUUAAGCGUGUAGGCUGGUUUUCCAGGCAAAUCCGGAAAAUCAAGGCUGAGGCGUGAUGACGAGGCACUACGGUGCUGAAGCAACAAAUGCCCUGCUUCCAGGAAAAGCCUCUAAGCAUCAGGUAACAUCAAAUCGUACCCCAAACCGACACAGGUGGUCAGGUAGAGAAUACCAAGGCGCUUGAGAGAACUCGGGUGAAGGAACUAGGCAAAAUGGUGCCGUAACUUCGGGAGAAGGCACGCUGAUAUGUAGGUGAAGCGACUUGCUCGUGGAGCUGAAAUCAGUCGAAGAUACCAGCUGGCUGCAACUGUUUAUUAAAAACACAGCACUGUGCAAACACGAAAGUGGACGUAUACGGUGUGACGCCUGCCCGGUGCCGGAAGGUUAAUUGAUGGGGUCAGCGCAAGCGAAGCUCUUGAUCGAAGCCCCGGUAAACGGCGGCCGUAACUAUAACGGUCCUAAGGUAGCGAAAUUCCUUGUCGGGUAAGUUCCGACCUGCACGAAUGGCGUAAUGAUGGCCAGGCUGUCUCCACCCGAGACUCAGUGAAAUUGAACUCGCUGUGAAGAUGCAGUGUACCCGCGGCAAGACGGAAAGACCCCGUGAACCUUUACUAUAGCUUGACACUGAACAUUGAGCCUUGAUGUGUAGGAUAGGUGGGAGGCUUAGAAGUGUGGACGCCAGUCUGCAUGGAGCCGACCUUGAAAUACCACCCUUUAAUGUUUGAUGUUCUAACGUUGACCCGUAAUCCGGGUUGCGGACAGUGUCUGGUGGGUAGUUUGACUGGGGCGGUCUCCUCCUAAAGAGUAACGGAGGAGCACGAAGGUUGGCUAAUCCUGGUCGGACAUCAGGAGGUUAGUGCAAUGGCAUAAGCCAGCUUGACUGCGAGCGUGACGGCGCGAGCAGGUGCGAAAGCAGGUCAUAGUGAUCCGGUGGUUCUGAAUGGAAGGGCCAUCGCUCAACGGAUAAAAGGUACUCCGGGGAUAACAGGCUGAUACCGCCCAAGAGUUCAUAUCGACGGCGGUGUUUGGCACCUCGAUGUCGGCUCAUCACAUCCUGGGGCUGAAGUAGGUCCCAAGGGUAUGGCUGUUCGCCAUUUAAAGUGGUACGCGAGCUGGGUUUAGAACGUCGUGAGACAGUUCGGUCCCUAUCUGCCGUG
RNAcentral lists this ribosomal RNA (2245 nucleotides) under Escherichia coli. Its description in RNAcentral is "partial 23S ribosomal RNA". It matches the Rfam family "Bacterial large subunit ribosomal RNA", at positions 419 to 2649 of the family's 2925-position model. Lineage: Bacteria; Pseudomonadati; Pseudomonadota; Gammaproteobacteria; Enterobacterales; Enterobacteriaceae. The record is from RNAcentral.